AUGAACGCUAGCUACAGGCUUAACACAUGCAAGUCGAGGGGCAGCAUGGUCUUAGCUUGCUAAGGCCGAUGGCGACCGGCGCACGGGUGAGUAACACGUAUCCAACCUGCCGUCUACUCUUGGACAGCCUUCUGAAAGGAAGAUUAAUACAAGAUGGCAUCAUGAGUCCACAUGUUCACAUGAUUAAAGGUAUUCCGGUAGACGAUGGGGAUGCGUUCCAUUAGAUAGUAGGCGGGGUAACAGCCCACCUAGUCUUCGAUGGAUAGGGGUUCUGAGAGGAAGGUCCCCCACAUUGGAACUGAGACACGGUCCAAACUCCUACGGGAGGCAGCAGUGAGGAAUAUUGGUCAAUGGGCGAGAGCCUGAACCAGCCAAGUAGCGUGAAGGAUGACUGCCCUAUGGGUUGUAAACUUCUUUUAUAAAGGAAUAAAGUCGGGUAUGGAUACCCGUUUGCAUGUACUUUAUGAAUAAGGAUCGGCUAACUCCGUGCCAGCAGCCGCGGUAAUACGGAGGAUCCGAGCGUUAUCCGGAUUUAUUGGGUUUAAAGGGAGCGUAGAUGGAUGUUUAAGUCAGUUGUGAAAGUUUGCGGCUCAACCGUAAAAUUGCAGUUGAUACUGGAUAUCUUGAGUGCAGUUGAGGCAGGCGGAAUUCGUGGUGUAGCGGUGAAAUGCUUAGAUAUCACGAAGAACUCCGAUUGCGAAGGCAGCCUGCUAAGCUGCAACUGACAUUGAGGCUCGAAAGUGUGGGUAUCAAACAGGAUUAGAUACCCUGGUAGUCCACACGGUAAACGAUGAAUACUCGCUGUUUGCGAUAUACGGCAAGCGGCCAAGCGAAAGCGUUAAGUAUUCCACCUGGGGAGUACGCCGGCAACGGUGAAACUCAAAGGAAUUGACGGGGGCCCGCACAAGCGGAGGAACAUGUGGUUUAAUUCGAUGAUACGCGAGGAACCUUACCCGGGCUUAAAUUGCAGAUGAAUUACGGUGAAAGCCGUAAGCCGCAAGGCAUCUGUGAAGGUGCUGCAUGGUUGUCGUCAGCUCGUGCCGUGAGGUGUCGGCUUAAGUGCCAUAACGAGCGCAACCCUUGUUGUCAGUUACUAACAGGUUCCGCUGAGGACUCUGACAAGACUGCCAUCGUAAGAUGUGAGGAAGGUGGGGAUGACGUCAAAUCAGCACGGCCCUUACGUCCGGGGCUACACACGUGUUACAAUGGGGGGUACAGAGGGCCGCUACCACGCGAGUGGAUGCCAAUCCCAAAAACCUCUCUCAGUUCGGACUGGAGUCUGCAACCCGACUCCACGAAGCUGGAUUCGCUAGUAAUCGCGCAUCAGCCACGGCGCGGUGAAUACGUUCCCGGGCCUUGUACACACCGCCCGUCAAGCCAUGGGAGCCGGGGGUACCUGAAGUGCGUAACCGCGAGGAGCGCCCUAGGGUAAAACUGGUGACUGGGGCUAAGUC
This 1454-nucleotide ribosomal RNA is filed under the name uncultured organism. RNAcentral's name for it is "SSU rRNA". It matches the Rfam family "Bacterial small subunit ribosomal RNA". The record is from RNAcentral.